UACGUAGGUGGCAAGCGUUGUCCGGAUUUAUUGGGUUUAAAGGGUGCGUAGGCGGCUUUGUAAGUCAGUGCUGAAAUACUCCAGCUUAACUGGAGGGGUGGCAUUGAUACUGGAAGACUUGAGUGUAGUCGAAGUAGGCGGAAUUGACGGUGUAGCGGUGAAAUGCUUAGAUAUCAUCAAGAACACCGAUAGUGAAGACAGCUUACUAGGCUACAACUGACGCUGAGGCACGAAAGUGUGGGGAGCAAACAGG
RNAcentral lists this ribosomal RNA (253 nucleotides) under uncultured bacterium. RNAcentral's name for it is "partial 16S ribosomal RNA". It matches the Rfam family "Bacterial small subunit ribosomal RNA", at positions 524 to 776 of the family's 1533-position model. The record is from RNAcentral.